RNAcentral lists this long non-coding RNA (690 nucleotides) under Nicotiana tabacum (common tobacco). Its description in RNAcentral is "long non-coding RNA (NTAB_LNC012484)". The record is from RNAcentral. Lineage: Eukaryota; Viridiplantae; Streptophyta; Magnoliopsida; Solanales; Solanaceae.
UUUUUGUCUCCUAAGACUAUAUUGAAUAGCAUCAUACAAAGAGAGAAUGGCUUCAUACAAAGUUGCUUUUGUUUUACUUUUUCUUCUUCUUUCUCAAGCCAAAGGUUAGGAUAAAACAUUAUUAAAAUCAUACCAUUGCACCUUACAUGAUGUUAUCAAACAUGUUUUUCUUUGACCACAACUUAUUUUUAUAUUAAUAGUUUUUUUAAUUAUGAAAAGUGUUAUUUAUAAGUAGCAUUCUUGUCUAAUUUCUAAUUACAUAAAUUGUAUUUUAAUAAAUUGAUAUUUGAAUUGAAUUAAAGAAUUAAAGGUUUUAAUCAUAGUGCUUUGACUUUUAUUCUUUUUAAGAGAAGGAAUUGUUCUUUUUAGCUUCUCUACUUAUUGUUUAAGUAUCUAUUUUUCUUUUCACUCUCAUUUUUCUCUUUAAAUGUAGAAAACCAUGUGAAUGGUUCGGAGGAGAUAUGCGGCGUAUAUUUGGGCCCAUGCACAAGUCAUCUAGACUGCAAGAAGCCAUGCAAGCGUUUGGAUUAUUUUGUGGGGUUGUGUAUACCUAACCCUAAGUUUGGUCAAAGUGAUACUAUUUGUUGUUGUCUUAAUAGGUAAAAAAUCUCCCGAAUAAUACUUAUUUAUACAUUUUGAUUUUCAGCAAAGAAGCAAGCUCAUAUGGAAUAAUAUUUAUGUCUUUUUUAU